UGUGUGUCUGUUUUUCCCAG
This 20-nucleotide microRNA is filed under the name Mus musculus (house mouse). RNAcentral's name for it is "mmu-miR-6903-3p". Lineage: Eukaryota; Metazoa; Chordata; Mammalia; Rodentia; Muridae. The record is from miRBase by way of RNAcentral.